Pteropus vampyrus (large flying fox) is the source of this 119-nucleotide ribosomal RNA. The record is from Ensembl. NCBI's taxonomy places the organism in Eukaryota, Metazoa, Chordata, Mammalia, Chiroptera, Pteropodidae.
GUCUACAGCCGUGCCUCCCUGAACGUGCCCGAGCCCAUGUGAUCUCGGAAGCUAAGCAGGGUCGGGCCCAGUUAGUACUUGGAUGGGAGACCACCUAGGAAGACCAGGUGCUGCAGGCA